This 161-nucleotide ribosomal RNA is filed under the name Cyphellophoraceae sp. RNAcentral describes it as "partial large subunit ribosomal RNA". It matches the Rfam family "Eukaryotic large subunit ribosomal RNA", at positions 99 to 261 of the family's 3401-position model. The record is from RNAcentral. Lineage: Eukaryota; Fungi; Ascomycota; Eurotiomycetes; Chaetothyriales; Cyphellophoraceae.
CGGCAACAGCUCAAAUUUGAAAUCUGCCCGCAAGGGCCGAGUUGUAAUUUGUAGAGGAUGUUUUGGGUACCGCCACGGUUUAAUUUUCUUGGAACAGAAUGUCACAGAGGGUGAGAAUCCCGUCUGGAGUUCGGACACGGCCUAUGUGAAGCUCCUUCGAC